This 68-nucleotide transfer RNA is filed under the name Conus miles. Its description in RNAcentral is "tRNA-Glu". Lineage: Eukaryota; Metazoa; Mollusca; Gastropoda; Neogastropoda; Conidae. The record is from RNAcentral.
GUUCUUGAGGUGUAAAAUGCACAUUAGGUUUUCAUCCUAAAGGAGUAAAGAGAAAUUUAUCUAGAAUA